This 811-nucleotide ribosomal RNA is filed under the name Escherichia coli. RNAcentral's name for it is "partial 23S ribosomal RNA". It matches the Rfam family "Bacterial large subunit ribosomal RNA", at positions 2132 to 2925 of the family's 2925-position model. Lineage: Bacteria; Pseudomonadati; Pseudomonadota; Gammaproteobacteria; Enterobacterales; Enterobacteriaceae. The record is from RNAcentral.
UGAUGUGUAGGAUAGGUGGGAGGCUUUGAAGUGUGGACGCCAGUCUGCAUGGAGCCGACCUUGAAAUACCACCCUUUAAUGUUUGAUGUUCUAACGUGGGCCCCUUACCGGGGUUGCGGACAGUGUCUGGUGGGUAGUUUGACUGGGGCGGUCUCCUCCUAAAGAGUAACGGAGGAGCACGAAGGUUGGCUAAUCCUGGUCGGACAUCAGGAGGUUAGUGCAAUGGCAUAAGCCAGCUUGACUGCGAGCGUGACGGCGCGAGCAGGUGCGAAAGCAGGUCAUAGUGAUCCGGUGGUUCUGAAUGGAAGGGCCAUCGCUCAACGGAUAAAAGGUACUCCGGGGAUAACAGGCUGAUACCGCCCAAGAGUUCAUAUCGACGGCGGUGUUUGGCACCUCGAUGUCGGCUCAUCACAUCCUGGGGCUGAAGUAGGUCCCAAGGGUAUGGCUGUUCGCCAUUUAAAGUGGUACGCGAGCUGGGUUUAGAACGUCGUGAGACAGUUCGGUCCCUAUCUGCCGUGGGCGCUGGAGAACUGAGGGGGGCUGCUCCUAGUACGAGAGGACCGGAGUGGACGCAUCACUGGUGUUCGGGUUGUCAUGCCAAUGGCACUGCCCGGUAGCUAAAUGCGGAAGAGAUAAGUGCUGAAAGCAUCUAAGCACGAAACUUGCCCCGAGAUGAGUUCUCCCUGACUCCUUGAGAGUCCUGAAGGAACGUUGAAGACGACGACGUUGAUAGGCCGGGUGUGUAAGCGCAGCGAUGCGUUGAGCUAACCGGUACUAAUGAACCGUGAGGCUUAACCUUACAACGCCGAAG